AUUGAACGCUGGCGGCAGGCCUAACACAUGCAAGUCGAGCGGAUGAAGGGAGCUUGCUCCUGGAUUCAGCGGCGGACGGGUGAGUAAUGCCUAGGAAUCUGCCUGGUAGUGGGGGAUAACGUCCGGAAACGGGCGCUAAUACCGCAUACGUCCUGAGGGAGAAAGUGGGGGAUCUUCGGACCUCACGCUCUCAGAUGAGCCUAGGUCGGAUUAGCUAGUUGGUGGGGUAAAGGCCUACCAAGGCGACGAUCCGUAACUGGUCUGAGAGGAUGAUCAGUCACACGGGAACUGGGACACGGUCCAGACUCCUACGGGAGGCAGCAGUGGGGAAUAUUGGACAAUGGGCGAAAGCCUGAUCCAGCCAUGCCGCGUGUGUGAAGAAGGUCUUCGGAUUGUAAAGCACUUUAAGUUGGGAGGAAGGGCAGUAAGUUAAUACCUUGCUGUUUUGACGUUACCAACAGAAUAAGCACCGGCUAACUUCGUG
Molecule: ribosomal RNA, 484 nt
Filed under: uncultured bacterium
Lineage: Bacteria
Description: partial 16S ribosomal RNA
Rfam family: Bacterial small subunit ribosomal RNA
Source: RNAcentral